AAUGGGAUAACUGGGUCAGAUGGUGGUUCCAUUCCAAGUUUUCUGAGGAAUCUCCAUACUGCUUUCCAGAGUGGUUGCACCAAUUUAUAGUCCCACCAGAAAU
RNAcentral lists this microRNA precursor (103 nucleotides) under Marmota monax (woodchuck). Lineage: Eukaryota; Metazoa; Chordata; Mammalia; Rodentia; Sciuridae. The record is from RNAcentral.